ACAUCGAGUUCAUUUGAAAACAAAACAAGUCCAACCUUCAACGGGUAUCAUUUGCUGUGUACCUUUGAAGUUAAUGAACUACGAUGUUUAUGUUCAGGCUGCUAAGUUCGCUCAGUGUUUUGUGUUUAGUGACGUCAUACCCCCUCAUCAGUUGGUUUGCGGCAAAUAAAAUCGUAAAUGCUCAGUUUGAUAUAUCAGAAGACUGCUUAUCCAAAGUAAAAGAUGGCGAUUGUAGUUUCUUCGAAUGUUUUGAGAAAAGAUUGCCUUGUGGAGAGGACGGAUACGCACUGAGUUACGGCAAAAAAUACUGCAACAAAUUAAAAGCGAAUAGUCAUCUAUUUACCUCACAGGGUCAAGAAUUUAUAAGGAAAAUGGCGAUUUGCCAGAUAGAACGAUCACUAUCGGCCUAUAACAGUAGCUUUCUGGAUUGUAAUCAACACUAUGCAAACAGUUUUCGAAAUAUGGGGCUAUGUUUUGUACCAAGUGGAUUCUGUCACAUCGUUAUACCAAACCUAGUAGCCGUGGCAUCGUCUCUUGACCCCUCUGAUUUUGUAAAUUACAGACUUGUGACAGAAGUUUUUGCUGCCGGAAGGAAUUGUCCAGUUGAUUUAACUUCAGACAUAGUCAGAGAAUACACGAAUUAUAAACGAAAAUAAUACCAUUGGACGCAUUAACAUACAAAGACGGAUACGCAAUAUGAACUCAAGUGAAAUACGUGAAAAUAGUCCCAUUUUGUUCUUUUAUUUAGUGGAUAGCAUUGUUUUGUU
Long non-coding RNA from Patella vulgata (common limpet), 767 nucleotides. RefSeq lists it as uncharacterized. Lineage: Eukaryota; Metazoa; Mollusca; Gastropoda; Patellidae. The record is from RefSeq and is a predicted model, not a curated record. The transcript is spliced from 5 exons.